Molecule: transfer RNA, 851 nt
Filed under: uncultured Synechococcus sp.
Lineage: Bacteria; Bacillati; Cyanobacteriota; Cyanophyceae; Synechococcales; Synechococcaceae
Description: partial contains 16S ribosomal RNA, 16S-23S ribosomal RNA intergenic spacer, and 23S ribosomal RNA
Rfam family: tRNA (bases 285-357)
Source: RNAcentral
UUGGAUCACCUCCUAACAGGGAGACAACACAAUGAUUUUGAUGCCUGAGUAUUUUUAUUCUUAGGCCGAAAUCCUGUCACCUUAGGUCGAUCGGUACCUCAGCUUUUGAAGUUAAGAAUCAGCAGCAAUGUUGAUUGCUUGAUGGAGAUUUUCAGUUCCUAAACUUUGUCUAGGUCACACCCCAAAAGGGAUGAGACUCCUGGGCCAUUAGCUCAGGUGGUUAGAGCGCACCCCUGAUAAGGGUGAGGUCCCUGGUUCAAGUCCAGGAUGGCCCAUUCGGUGUUGGGGGUUUAGCUCAGUUGGUAGAGCGCCUGCUUUGCAAGCAGGAUGUCAGGAGUUCGAGUCUCCUAACCUCCACUGACCGAACUUUAUCCCCGCUCCAUGUAAUGGAGUUGAGCUCGAUUGGAGUGUGAUUUAGAUUUGUCCGCUGGAAGACCCCAGCUUCCUGUCAUUCCAAAGACAAGUAAAAAGUUUACUUGUUGACUUUGGUUGAUAAGAUGCUGGGCUCAAAUGAGUUGAUCAAGCAAUUGAUCAAUUGAUUUGAAGUUCUAGCAGAACCUUGACAACUGCAUAGGUAAGUCUGGAAAGAAUAAAGCAUCUCAUGGAUGAUGCGAUGAUUCUUUUCUGUGAUCCGAAAGGAUGAUGGAGAAGGAGAGUUGCAAAUUCUAUCGAGCAAGAGCCGAGACUCCAUCACGUUCUUUUGAUUGUGUCGAGCAAUUAGGAGUUUGAUCUUUGAUUCAGCAAUGAAUCAGAGAGAAUCCGUUUCAACGACGGCAAGCGUGAUGGAGAUUAAUUGGUCAAGCUACAAAGGGCUCACGGUGGAUACCUUGGCACACAGAGGCGAUGAAGGA